GUAAUCAGGAAAUAGCACACAGGAGGGGACACAGCUGGAACUAAUGGACAUAACGAGACACAAACCUACAAAGUAAAACAGGAAACACAGACUGUUUUACACAACCAACUGGGGACACGAGAGAACACAGAGGAGAGACACAGAGUUGAAUGAGCAUGCCCAGCCAUACAGAGGGGGUCAGGCCAGGACUGUUUGGGACCGCCCCAAGUACAACAGCUCAGCACAUCAUUGUGGUUGGGUUCUGCUCACUCUGGGGCGGAGUCAGUUUCCAGCACUCGUCAAUGGACACCUGCACUCCAUCAAGUGUGCACCGGUCUCUUUACCUGGUUUCUCCAGGGCUCUCUCUGUCACAUGGCACCUCUGUAUCCAGCAUCCUUUAGCAGAUCUACCAGGACAGUAAACAGAGGCUGAUCCCUAUGUGAUUAACGUAGGUGAAGCUCUGGGAAUAUCUGGAAAUUUAUUUUUCCCCCUGUGGUGAAAACUAUACAUUUUGCAUAUCUUUAAAAAUAAAAUGAGAAACAUUAUCUUAAUGUUUCAAAGA
Molecule: long non-coding RNA, 541 nt
Organism: Oreochromis aureus
Lineage: Eukaryota; Metazoa; Chordata; Actinopteri; Cichliformes; Cichlidae
Exons: 4
Source: RefSeq, a predicted model, not a curated record